This 297-nucleotide ribosomal RNA is filed under the name uncultured Sandona. RNAcentral's name for it is "partial 18S ribosomal RNA". The stretch from base 105 to 297 matches the Rfam family "Eukaryotic small subunit ribosomal RNA", at positions 735 to 955 of the family's 1831-position model. The record is from RNAcentral. Lineage: Eukaryota; Cercozoa; Glissomonadida.
GACUUCUGGUUUAAUGCACCUGGCCCGCGGCUCUUUAGGCUUGUGAGUGCCGGCGCGCGUUUACCAUCCUUCUGGGGAACGGGUCUACCCUUAACUGGGCCGGAUUCGGGAUCCAGAUCAUUUACUUUGAAAAAAUUAGAGUGUUUAAAGCAGGCUAUUGCUAUGAAUACAUUAGCAUGGAAUAAUAAUCUAGUAUAACUGAAGUAAUGAUUGAUAGGGAUAGUUGGGGGUGCUAGUAUUGGCCGGUCAGAGGUGAAAUUCUUGGAUUCGGUCAAGACUAACUUAUGCGAAAGCAUU